Molecule: ribosomal RNA, 328 nt
Filed under: uncultured prokaryote
Description: bacterial SSU rRNA
Rfam family: Archaeal small subunit ribosomal RNA
Source: RNAcentral
AUCCACUGCUAUCGGGGUAAGGCUAAGCCAUGCAAGUCGAAGGCCUCCGGCUCCGGGGGCCUGGCGUACGGCUGAGUAACGCGUGGCCAACCUGCCCCGCGGAGGGGGAUAACCCCGGGAAACUGGGGAUAAACCCCCAUAGGUGACCGGGUCUGGAAGGACCGGACGCCGAAAGUCCCGGUCGGGGAUGCUCCGGCCGGGAGCCGCAGGAUGGGGCUGCGUCCUAUCAGGUAGUUGGUGGGGUAACGGCCCACCAAGCCUGUGACGGGUAGGGGCCCUGAGAGGGGGAGCCCCCAGAUGGACUCUGAGACAAGAGUCCAGGCCCUAC